AAUAUUGCGCAAUGGAGGGAACUCUGACGCAGCGACGCCGCGUGAGCGAUGAAGGUCUUCGGAUCGUAAAGCUCUGUCCUUGGGGAAGAAGGUCUUCGGACUUGACGGUACCUAAGGAGGAAGCCCCGUCUAACUACGUGCCAGCAGCCGCGGUAAUACGUAGGGGGCAAGCGUUGUCCGGAAUUAUUGGGCGUAAAGGGUGCGUAGGCGGCCCUUUAAGUCAGAUGUGAAAGCCCACGGCUUAACCGUAGUUAGCAUUUGAAACUAAAAGGCUUGAGUGCAGGAGAGGAAAGUGGAAUUCCUAGUGUAGCGGUGAAAUGCGUAGAGAUUUGGAGGAACACCAGUGGCGAAGGCGACUAACUGGUCUGUAACUGACGCUGAGGCGCGAAAGCGUGGGGAGCAAACA
RNAcentral lists this ribosomal RNA (406 nucleotides) under uncultured bacterium. Its description in RNAcentral is "partial 16S ribosomal RNA". It matches the Rfam family "Bacterial small subunit ribosomal RNA", at positions 360 to 774 of the family's 1533-position model. The record is from RNAcentral.